CCCUUAGAUGUCCUGGGCUGCACGCGCGCUACACUGAUGUGUUCAAUAAGCACCUAACCUACUCCGAAGGGACUGGGUAACCUUUGCAAAGCACAUCGUGAUGGGGAUAGAUUAUUGCAAUUAUUAGUCUUGAACGAGGAAUUCCUAGUAAGCGCAAGUCAUCAGCUUGUGUUGAUUACGUCCCUGCCCUUUGUACACACCGCCCGUCGCUCCUACCGAUUGGGUGAUCCGGUGAAUACUUCGGAGUGUGAACUCUACAGUUUCUGUUUUGUUCGCGCAAAGUUGAAUAAACCUUAUCACUUAGAGGAAGGAGAAGUCGUAACA
RNAcentral lists this ribosomal RNA (324 nucleotides) under uncultured eukaryote. Its description in RNAcentral is "partial 18S ribosomal RNA". It matches the Rfam family "Eukaryotic small subunit ribosomal RNA", at positions 1470 to 1796 of the family's 1831-position model. The record is from RNAcentral.